Molecule: ribosomal RNA, 1399 nt
Filed under: human metagenome
Description: bacterial LSU rRNA
Rfam family: Bacterial large subunit ribosomal RNA
Source: RNAcentral
AGUCAGACUGCACGAGAUAAGUUGGGUAGUCAAAAGGGAAAGAGCCCAGACCUACAGCUAAGGUCCCAAAGUAUGUGUUCAGUGGAAAAGGAUGUGAGAUUUCAGAGACAACUAGGAUGUUGGCUUAGAAGCAGCCACACAUUCAAAGAGUGCGUAAUAGCUCACUAGUCGAGAGGUCUUGCGCCGAAAAUGUCCGGGGCUAAAACACAACACCGAAGCUUAGGAAUGUAGCAAUACAUUGGUAGAGGAGCAUUUUUAUAGGCGUAGAAGCUGUACCGAUAAGGAGCAGUGGAGUAAUAAAAAGAGAGAAUGCCGGAAUGAGUAGCGAGAUGAAGGUGAGAAUCCUUCAGGCCGAAUAUCUAAGGUUUCCAGAGUAAAGCUGAUCUGCUCUGGGUAAGUCGGGACCUAAGGCAAGGUCGAAAGACGUAGUCGAUGGACAACAGGUUUAGAUUCCUGUACCGCUUAUUAUCAGAAAUGUGGGGACACAGAGACGUAUCCAAACCCAGGAAUGCAAAGACUGGGGCAAGCCAAGUACUGGUAUGGCAGGAAAAUCCGCCAUGCAACAGGAAUAGGUGAUGCGGACCGAAAUCAAGUAGGGAAGUUGGAGAAGGAGCUGUCAAGAAAAGCCGCUAUUGUGUAAUAAGUGCCCGUACCGUAAACCGACACAGGUGGAUGAGGAGAGAAUCCUAAGGCCGGCGGGAGAAGCAUUGUUAAGGAACUCGGCAAAAUGACCCCGUAACUUCGGGAGAAGGGGUGCCCAGGCAACUGGGCCGCAGAGAAAAGGCUCAAGCAACUGUUUAGCAAAAACACAGGUCUAUGCGAAACCGUAAGGUGAGGUAUAUGGGCUGACGCCUGCCCGGUGCUGGAAGGUUAAGAGGAGAGGUUAGCGCAAGCGAAGCUUUGAAUUGAAGCCCCAGUAAACGGCGGCCGUAACUAUAACGGUCCUAAGGUAGCGAAAUUCCUUGUCGGGUAAGUUCCGACCCGCACGAAAGGCGUAAUGAUUUGAGCGCUGUCUCAACAAUGCACCCGGUGAAAUUGAAGUACCAGUGAAGAUGCUGGUUACCUGCGCCAGGACGGAAAGACCCCAUGGAGCUUUACUCUAGUUUGAUACUGGGAUUCGAUUAUACCUGUACAGGAUAGGUGGGAGGCGAAGAAGCAAGGACGCCAGUCUUUGCAGAGCCGCUGUUGGGAUACCACCCUUGUAUGAUUGGAUUUCUAACCUGCGCCCGUGAUCCGGGUGGGGGACACUGUCAGAUGGGGAGUUUGACUGGGGCGGUCGCCUCCGAAAGGGUAUCGGAGGCGCUCAAAGGUUCCCUCAGAAUGGUCGGAAACCAUUCAAAGAGUGCAAAGGCAGAAGGGAGCUUGACUGCGACACCGACGGGUGGAGCAGGUACGAAAG